CACGUAGGGUGCAAGCGUUGUCCGGAAUUAUUGGGCGUAAAGAGCUCGUAGGCGGUUUGUCGCGUCGAAUGUGAAAACCCGGGGCUCAACCCCGGGCCUGCAUUCGAUACGGGCAGACUAGAGUUCGGUAGGGGAGUCUGGAAUUCCUGGUGUAGCGGUGAAAUGCGCAGAUAUCAGGAGGAACACCGGUGGCGAAGGCGGGACUCUGGGCCGAUACUGACGCUGAGGAGCGAAAGCGUGGGGAGCAAACAGG
RNAcentral lists this ribosomal RNA (253 nucleotides) under uncultured bacterium. RNAcentral describes it as "partial 16S ribosomal RNA". It matches the Rfam family "Bacterial small subunit ribosomal RNA", at positions 524 to 776 of the family's 1533-position model. The record is from RNAcentral.